AGUAUAAGCAAUCUAUACGGUGAAACUGCGAAUGGCUCAUUAAAUCAGUUAUCGUUUAUUUGAUAGUACCUUACUACUUGGAUAACCGUGGUAAUUCUAGAGCUAAUACAUGCUAAAAACCUCGACUUCGGAAGGGGUGUAUUUAUUAGAUAAAAAACCAAUGCCCUUCGGGGCUCCUUGGUGAUUCAUAAUAACUUAACGAAUCGCAUGGCCUUGUGCCGGCGAUGGUUCAUUCAAAUUUCUGCCCUAUCAACUUUCGAUGGUAAGGUAUUGGCUUACCAUGGUUUCAACGGGUAACGGGGAAUUAGGGUUCUAUUCCGGAGAGGGAGCCUGAGAAACGGCUACCACAUCCAAGGAAGGCAGCAGGCGCGCAAAUUACCCAAUCCCGACACGGGGAGGUAGUGACAAUAAAUACUGAUACAGGGCUCUUUUGGGUCUUGUAAUUGGAAUGAGUACAAUUUAAAUCCCUUAACGAGGAACAAUUGGAGGGCAAGUCUGGUGCCAGCAGCCGCGGUAAUUCCAGCUCCAAUAGCGUAUAUUAAAGUUGUUGCAGUUAAAAAGCUCGUAGUUGAACCUUGGGCCUGGCUGGCCGGUCCGCCUCACCGCGUGCACUGGUCCGGCCGGGCCUUUCCUUCUGGGGAGCCGCAUGCCCUUCACUGGGUGUGUCGGGGAACCAGGACUUUUACUUUGAAAAAAUUAGAGUGUUCAAAGCAGGCCUAUGCUCGAAUACAUUAGCAUGGAAUAAUAGAAUAGGACGUGUGGUUCUAUUUUGUUGGUUUCUAGGACCGCCGUAAUGAUUAAUAGGGAUAGUC
Molecule: ribosomal RNA, 812 nt
Filed under: Leotiomycetes sp.
Lineage: Eukaryota; Fungi; Ascomycota; Leotiomycetes
Description: SSU rRNA
Rfam family: Eukaryotic small subunit ribosomal RNA
Source: RNAcentral